This is a long non-coding RNA of Rhagoletis zephyria (snowberry fruit fly), 724 nucleotides long. RefSeq lists it as uncharacterized. NCBI's taxonomy places the organism in Eukaryota, Metazoa, Arthropoda, Insecta, Diptera, Tephritidae. The record is from RefSeq and is a predicted model, not a curated record.
CAUUUCCCAAACUAUUAGAAAAAAAUUCUGAACAAGCUACAUUGAUUCAAUUUUCGUUGUUCGUUUUGUUCUUAUUCGCUGACAUUUGUUUUCCAAUUGCGUGAAAUUUGGUCAUUUCCUUAGUGUUUCGCUGACCGACCUGUGCUGGUAUUGUGAUUAAGAGCUAAUACACAUUUUUCGGACGAUUCUGCUGUGCUGCGUUCCUGCUCCGCCUGUAUAUUGCUCCGCCCGUAUUUUAUAGUGUUGCGUUCCUGUUGCGCCUUUGCAUUAGUGUGUGCGUUGUGAUUUAGACACGUUGAAAUUUUUUGUAUGCUUCUGCUGUGCUGCGUUCCUGCUCCACCCGUGUAUUAGAUUGCUGCGUUCCUGUUAACAUACAUAUCGUCGCUUAAAGUACAAAACCGCGUAACUGACAUUUGCUGCUAAAAAUUGGAUUCGCUCACACACGUUUUUGGAUCAAUCCUUAUCCAUUCUUCCUGAAAUAUACUAGCCAAAAAUGCGAUUGCUUUUUACAAAAAGAUAACCAUUUUGAAAUAUGAGUGUUUUUACUCUCUAGAAAUUAAUUUAUGCAACCUCGCAUACGUGGGUUUGCAUUAUCUCUAUACGCGGUUUUGCAAUUUAUUGAUACAUGGUUUUGUACUUUAAACGACGAUAUGUAUGUAGAUGUAUGUACAUGUAUAUCACAUAUAUUGACUUAGAUAUGUAUACACAAUUAAUGGUGUACAUA